Molecule: transfer RNA, 66 nt
Filed under: Anteliomys chinensis (Sichuan red-backed vole)
Lineage: Eukaryota; Metazoa; Chordata; Mammalia; Rodentia; Cricetidae
Description: tRNA-Thr
Source: RNAcentral
GCCCUGAUAGUAUAAACAUUACACUGGUCUUGUAAACCAGAAAUGAAAACUACUUUUCUCAGGACA